UACAGAGGGUGCGAGCGUUAAUCGGAAUUACUGGGCGUAAAGCGCGCGUAGACGGUUUUGUAAGUCAGAUGUGAAAUCCCCGGGCUCAACCUGGGAACUGCAUUUGAGACUGCAUGGCUAGAGUAUGGAAGAGGGAAGUGGAAUUUCCGGUGUAGCGGUGAAAUGCGUAGAUAUCGGGAGGAACAUCAGUGGCGAAGGCGGCUACCUGGCCCAAUACUGACACUCAGGUGCGACAGCGUGGGGAGCAAACAGG
RNAcentral lists this ribosomal RNA (253 nucleotides) under uncultured prokaryote. RNAcentral's name for it is "partial 16S ribosomal RNA". It matches the Rfam family "Bacterial small subunit ribosomal RNA", at positions 524 to 776 of the family's 1533-position model. The record is from RNAcentral.